CACCACAAACUGUUUUAAAAAUUUUUUUAGCAAUAUUAUCCAGUUGUGAAUAUUUUAACAAAAGCCACUUUCCUACAGUUUUUUUUAUAUAAAUUUUAUAUCCUGCAUCACUGAAAAUUGCGAAACUAGCCCUCUUUUUAACCGCAAACCACCCGUUCCUAAUGAUUUUGAUUAGCGGUGCUUUUCGACUAAACAGGUACUAUUAUUCGCGUACUAGCCUACGCAUUUCUCCUUAAUAACGUCAUUAGUUUUAUGUUAAAGCAAUCAGGGGUGCAUGAGUUCGUCGCAACAACUUUAGGGUUUCACCAACCCCAAAGAGCUGCUAUUUCGUAAAAUGUUGUUAGUGUCUAUAUAUACAUUUCGUGCGCGUGAGUUUUUGGGUCGUUCUAUAGGCCUAUCUGAAAAGAUAAUGGCAUAUCGCGGAAGUCGUGGAACGUAACUGCAAGGUCUGGAGCCUGACCAAACACCCCUGCUGUUACGUAUCUAGACCCUGCAAUUAUCACGCUGUUUCUUUUGUUUGUGUGUUUAUCGUCGUGAAAUUGUUGCGUAUAUAAGCGUGUUGUGAUUCGUAGGAAGAGAGACGAGAAGAGACAGAGAACGAUAUAUAGAGAAUGAAUAAAACGAAAUAAAUGAGAUUCGAGAGUGAAUAAACCGAAUACGUUGAGUGCUGCCUAAGUUACGUAUUGUUGGGAAUACGAGAAACAGGCAGAACGUUUUAGCUAUAUGUCUUGGAGCAAUUGGCAUUAAGUGUCUUGCCCAAGGACACAUACGCCCACAAUGGAAGCAGCGUCGAGCCUUGAAUCCAUUACCUCUGCUGGGUUACAGGCAGGCGCGCUAACCACUAAACCACAGCGUCGGACAAAGGUUAUAUAAUGUAUGGGGCAUAAGGAGACAUAUACAUGUUGUAGUAAGAUCGUUUUCAUAUAUACAGCCGUCAAGAUGGAAAAUUUGUUUAGUUCCCCAAGCAACUUAUUUACAACCUAGACGAAGUCGUUAUUAAAGAUAUAUGCGGUGAGAAGCAGCCUACGUUAGGAAGACGAAAAAAUCGUUUCAUAAAA
This is a non-coding RNA of Ciona intestinalis (vase tunicate), 1058 nucleotides long. The record is from RefSeq and is a predicted model, not a curated record. Lineage: Eukaryota; Metazoa; Chordata; Ascidiacea; Phlebobranchia; Cionidae.